CCUACGGGAGGCAGCAGUGGGGGAUAUUGCACAAUGGGGGAAACCCUGAUGCAGCGACGCCGCGUGUGGGAAGACGGUCCUCUGCAUUGUAAACCACUGUCCCCAGGGACGAAGAUGACGGUACCUGGGGAGGAAGCUGCGGCUAACUACGUGCCAGCAGCCGCGGUAAUACGGAGGGAGCGAGCGUUUUCCGGAAUUACUGGGUGUAAAGGGAGCGUAGGCGGGGAUGUAAGUUGGGUGUAAAAACUACCGGCUCAACUGGUAGUCGCACUCAAAACUGCAGCUCUUGAGUGAAGUAGAGGCAGGCGGAAUGCCUAGUGUAGCGGUGAAAUGCGUAGAUAUUAGGAGGAACACCAGUGGCGAAGGCGGCAUGCUGGGCUUUUACUGACGCUGAGGCUCGAAAGUGUGGGGAGCAAACAGGAUUAGAUACCCCGGUAGUC
RNAcentral lists this ribosomal RNA (440 nucleotides) under uncultured bacterium. RNAcentral describes it as "partial 16S ribosomal RNA". It matches the Rfam family "Bacterial small subunit ribosomal RNA", at positions 338 to 795 of the family's 1533-position model. The record is from RNAcentral.